This 74-nucleotide transfer RNA is filed under the name Candidatus Liberibacter asiaticus. RNAcentral's name for it is "tRNA-Gln". It matches the Rfam family "tRNA". Rfam says of the family: Transfer RNA (tRNA) molecules are approximately 80 nucleotides in length. Their secondary structure includes four short double-helical elements and three loops (D, anti-codon, and T loops). Further hydrogen bonds mediate the characteristic L-shaped molecular structure. tRNAs have two regions of fundamental functional importance: the anti-codon, which is responsible for specific mRNA codon recognition, and the 3' end, to which the tRNAs corresponding amino acid is attached (by aminoacyl-tRNA synthetases). tRNAs cope with the degeneracy of the genetic code in two manners: having more than one tRNA (with a specific anti-codon) for a particular amino acid; and 'wobble' base-pairing, i.e. permitting non-standard base-pairing at the 3rd anti-codon position. The record is from RNAcentral. Lineage: Bacteria; Pseudomonadati; Pseudomonadota; Alphaproteobacteria; Hyphomicrobiales; Rhizobiaceae. RNAcentral also lists the same sequence under 3 other names.
UGGGGAAUAGUUCAAUGGCAGAACGGCGGACUCUGACUCCGUUAAUCUUGGUUCGAAUCCAAGUUCCCCAACCA